AUGCUGGGUGCGUGCAGCUUCAGGACAAAGGGCAAUAAAACACAUUCCACAGGCACCCCCCCUGCACUAAGUCGACACGGGACAGUGUCCAGUUUCACCCGAGGCCGACAUCGAUUGGACGCCACACAGCUCAGGCAGGGAGGCAGCAAGCGUCCAGUUGAGCAUGUGACAACACAGGAUCGCAAGAGGAACUGCAGCGGGGUGACGCAUGAGCAGGCUCCUGCAGUGGCAGAUGAGACUGAGAUCUCCCCUCCUACAUUUUCUGUACAUUGUGACACACAAGCAGACUUCUGCAAUAGCCGACAAAAUCCUCAAGCCUCAGCCAUCAGCCUUCCACUACAGGCAGUGUGAUGGUGCAGCAGGACAACGGCAUUCAAAGAAACAGCUCUGUGAAGCAGUCCCAUGUCUGUGAAGGAUGCCAGUCAGCAGGAUGAAAACAUUUCUCUGCAUGCAGCAGCAGUCUGACAAGUCCCAGAUGGGUAAGGUUAGGUGUUCAACUCUUUAGGAUGAACAGAGUGCUGCAGCGCCAGCUAAAGUUGCAGUUUCACGGAGCUGUUUGUCUUCAUGCUACAACUUCAGCCCAUUUUCACACUCAUACAGCUUCACAGUCUGUUCUUGUACUGAAUGGAUUGUGUACAAACAGACUGGCGCUGCAGCAGUCUGUUUAUCCUGAAGCAUUGAACACCUUACCUUACCUUACCUUACCUUCCUGGGACUUGUCAGACUGCUGCUGCAUGUAGAGAAAUGUUUUCAUCCUGCUGACUGUCAUCCUUCACAGAUAUAGGACUGCUUCACAGAGCUGUUUCUUUGAAUGCUGUCAUCCUGCUGCAAGUCACACUGAGUCUCUGUCACAAUCUGUGCAACAAAAUGACAAAGGUCAGUAUGCAUGUCGUAGUUCACAGAGCUGCUUGUCUUCAUGCUGCAACUUCAGCCCACUUUGACACUC
Molecule: long non-coding RNA, 946 nt
Filed under: Betta splendens (Siamese fighting fish)
Lineage: Eukaryota; Metazoa; Chordata; Actinopteri; Anabantiformes; Osphronemidae
Description: lncRNA (ENSBSLG00000021898.1)
Source: RNAcentral